UACGGGGGGGGGCAAGCGUUGUUCGGAAUUACUGGGCGUAAAGGGCUCGUAGGCGGCCAACUAAGUCAGACGUGAAAUCCCUCGGCUUAACCGGGGAACUGCGUCUGAUACUGGAUGGCUUGAGUUUGGGAGAGGGAUGCGGAAUUCCAGGUGUAGCGGUGAAAUGCGUAGAUAUCUGGAGGAACACCGGUGGCGAAGGCGGCAUCCUGGACCAACACUGACGCUGAGUGAGCGAAAGCCAGGGGAGCAAACGGG
This 255-nucleotide ribosomal RNA is filed under the name uncultured bacterium. Its description in RNAcentral is "partial 16S ribosomal RNA". It matches the Rfam family "Bacterial small subunit ribosomal RNA", at positions 524 to 776 of the family's 1533-position model. The record is from RNAcentral.